Molecule: transfer RNA, 86 nt
Filed under: Candidatus Saccharimonadota bacterium
Lineage: Bacteria; Candidatus Saccharimonadota
Description: tRNA-Ser
Rfam family: tRNA
About the family: Transfer RNA (tRNA) molecules are approximately 80 nucleotides in length.
Source: RNAcentral
GGAGGGGUCGCCUAGAGGUCUAUAGCACGCUUGGAAAGCGUGUUGGGCGCAAGCCCUCGAGGGUUCGAAUCCCUCUCCCUCCGCCA